This 1110-nucleotide ribosomal RNA is filed under the name Leuconostoc gasicomitatum. Its description in RNAcentral is "bacterial SSU rRNA". It matches the Rfam family "Bacterial small subunit ribosomal RNA", at positions 354 to 1456 of the family's 1533-position model. The record is from RNAcentral. Lineage: Bacteria; Bacillati; Bacillota; Bacilli; Lactobacillales; Lactobacillaceae.
GUAGGGAAUCUUCCACAAUGGGCGAAAGCCUGAUGGAGCAACGCCGCGUGUGUGAUGAAGGCUUUCGGGUCGUAAAGCACUGUUGUAUGGGAAGAACAGCUAGAGUAGGGAAUGACUUUAGUUUGACGGUACCAUACCAGAAAGGGACGGCUAAAUACGUGCCAGCAGCCGCGGUAAUACGUAUGUCCCGAGCGUUAUCCGGAUUUAUUGGGCGUAAAGCGAGCGCAGACGGUUAAUUAAGUCUGAUGUGAAAGCCCGGAGCUCAACUCCGGAAAGGCAUUGGAAACUGGUUAACUUGAGUGCAGUAGAGGUAAGUGGAACUCCAUGUGUAGCGGUGGAAUGCGUAGAUAUAUGGAAGAACACCAGCGGCGAAGGCGGCUUACUGGACUGUAACUGACGUUGAGGCUCGAAAGUGUGGGUAGCAAACAGGAUUAGAUACCCUGGUAGUCCACACCGUAAACGAUGAACACUAGGUGUUAGGAGGUUUCCGCCUCUUAGUGCCGAAGCUAACGCAUUAAGUGUUCCGCCUGGGGAGUACGACCGCAAGGUUGAAACUCAAAGGAAUUGACGGGGACCCGCACAAGCGGUGGAGCAUGUGGUUUAAUUCGAAGCAACGCGAAGAACCUUACCAGGUCUUGACAUCCUUUGAAGCUUUUAGAGAUAGAAGUGUUCUCUUCGGAGACAAAGUGACAGGUGGUGCAUGGUCGUCGUCAGCUCGUGUCGUGAGAUGUUGGGUUAAGUCCCGCAACGAGCGCAACCCUUAUUGUUAGUUGCCAGCAUUCAGAUGGGCACUCUAGCGAGACUGCCGGUGACAAACCGGAGGAAGGCGGGGACGACGUCAGAUCAUCAUGCCCCUUAUGACCUGGGCUACACACGUGCUACAAUGGCGUAUACAACGAGUUGCCAACCUGUGAAGGUGAGCUAAUCUCUUAAAGUACGUCUCAGUUCGGACUGCAGUCUGCAACUCGACUGCACGAAGUCGGAAUCGCUAGUAAUCGCGGAUCAGCACGCCGCGGUGAAUACGUUCCCGGGUCUUGUACACACCGCCCGUCACACCAUGGGAGUUUGUAAUGCCCAAAGCCGGUGGCCUAACCGUAAGGAGGGAACCGU